UGUGUUUUAAUAGACUAGUAUUUUGUAAAAUACAGUCAAAUUUAAAUUAAUAUACAUUAUAUAUUUAUUUUUCCUAAAACAUAGAACAGUAAAUAAAGAAGUAAAGCAAACAAUUAUCUCUUCUUGUUACGACCUUUGUACUCGGUUGUUGCUAGACGUAGGUUGCUAAGACUU
Molecule: long non-coding RNA, 174 nt
Organism: Limulus polyphemus (Atlantic horseshoe crab)
Lineage: Eukaryota; Metazoa; Arthropoda; Merostomata; Xiphosura; Limulidae
Exons: 2
Source: RefSeq, a predicted model, not a curated record